GAUGAACGCUGGCGGCGUGCUUAACACAUGCAAGUCGAACGGUGAAGGCGGAGCUUGCUCUGCUGGAUCAGUGGCGAACGGGUGAGUAACACGUGAGCAAUCUGCCCCUGACUCUGGGAUAAGCGCUGGAAACGGCGUCUAAUACUGGAUACGAACUGCGAAGGCAUCUUCAGCAGCUGGAAAGAAUUUCGGUCAGGGAUGAGCUCGCGGCCUAUCAGCUUGUUGGUGAGGUAAUGGCUCACCAAGGCGUCGACGGGUAGCCGGCCUGAGAGGGUGACCGGCCACACUGGGACUGAGACACGGCCCAGACUCCUACGGGAGGCAGCAGUGGGGAAUAUUGCACAAUGGGCGAAAGCCUGAUGCAGCAACGCCGCGUGAGGGACGACGGCCUUCGGGUUGUAAACCUCUUUUAGCAGGGAAGAAGCGAAAGUGACGGUACCUGCAGAAAAAGCGCCGGCUAACUACGUG
RNAcentral lists this ribosomal RNA (468 nucleotides) under uncultured bacterium. RNAcentral describes it as "partial 16S ribosomal RNA". It matches the Rfam family "Bacterial small subunit ribosomal RNA", at positions 28 to 507 of the family's 1533-position model. The record is from RNAcentral.